RNAcentral lists this ribosomal RNA (1244 nucleotides) under metagenome. Its description in RNAcentral is "bacterial LSU rRNA". It matches the Rfam family "Bacterial large subunit ribosomal RNA", at positions 1564 to 2818 of the family's 2925-position model. The record is from RNAcentral.
UGAGUACGAGACGCUAAGGCGUCGAAGUAGUGUAUGUCAUACUUCCAAGAAAAGCUUGCACUGUCAUAGAUAAAAAACGCCUGUACCAUAACCGACACAGGUGGGUAGGUAGAGUAUACUAAGGGGCGCGAGAUAACUCUCUCUAAGGAACUCGGCAAAAUAACUCCGUAACUUCGGGAGAAGGAGUGCCUUAUUCGUAAGGUUGCAAUAACAAGAUCCAAGCAACUGUUUAUCAAAAACACAGGUCUCCGCUAAGUCGUAAGACGAUGUAUGGGGGCUGACGCCUGCCCAGUGCCAGAAGGUUAAAGAAGUUGGUUAGCAAUUGCGAAGCUGAUAACUGAAGCCCUGGUGAACGGCGGCCGUAACAAUAACGGUCCUAAGGUAGCGAAAUUCCUUGUCGGGUAAGUUCCGACCCGCACGAAAGGCGUAAUGAUUUGGAUACUGUCUCGGAGAGGGGCUCGGUGAAAUAGACUUGUCUGUGAAGAUGCGGACUACCUGCACCAGGACAGAAAGACCCUAUGAAGCUUUACUGUAACUUGAAAUUGAAAUUGGACUUUAUUCGCGCAGUAUAGGUGGGAGGCGUUGAUUAUAAUCUUGUGGGAUUAUUGGAGCCAUCAGUGAGAUACCACUCUUGUAAUGUUAGAUUUCUAACUUUGAAUCAUUAUCUGGUCAAAGAACAGUUUCAGGCGGGCAGUUUGACUGGGGCGGUCGCCUCCUAAACGGUAACGGAGGCGUACAAAGGUUUCCUCUGAACGGUUAGAAAUCGUAUCUAGAGUGUAAAGGCAUAAGGAAGCUUGACUGUGAGACCUACAAGUCGAGCAGGGACGAAAGUCGGUCUUAGUGAUCUGACGGUACUGAGUGGAAAGGCCGUCACUCAACGGAUAAAAGUUACUCUAGGAUAACAGGCUGAUCUCCCCCAAGAGUUCACAUCGACGGGGAGGUUUGGCACCUCGAUGUCGGCUCAUCGCAUCCUGGGGCGGUAGUACGUCCCAAGGGUUGGGCUGUUCGCCCAUGAAAGCGGUACGCGAGCUGGGUUCAGAACGUCGUGAGACAGUUCGGUCCAUAUCCGGUGUAGGCGUUAGAAUAUUGAGAGGAGCCUUCUUUAGUACGAGAGGACCGAGAAGGACAUACCUCUGGUGUACCAGUUAUCGUGCCAACGGUAAACGCUGGGUAGCUAUGUAUGGAGUGGAUAACCGCUGAAAGCAUCUAAGUGGGAAGCCCACCUCAAGAUAAGUAUUCUCAUC